UACAUAGGGGGCAAGCGUUGUUCGGAAUGACUGGGCGUAAAGGGUGUGUAGGCGGUUUUCUAAGUUAGAAGUGUAAUACCUCGGGCUUAACUCAGGUGCUGCUUCUAAAACUGGAGGACUAGAGUGUAGGAGAGGAGAAUGGAAUUCCUAGUGUAGCGGUGAAAUGCAUAGAUAUUAGGAGGAACACCAGAGGCGAAAGCGAUUCUCUGGACUACAACUGACGCUGAGGCACGAAAGCGUGGGGAGCAAACAGG
RNAcentral lists this ribosomal RNA (254 nucleotides) under uncultured bacterium. RNAcentral's name for it is "partial 16S ribosomal RNA". It matches the Rfam family "Bacterial small subunit ribosomal RNA", at positions 524 to 776 of the family's 1533-position model. The record is from RNAcentral.